Molecule: ribosomal RNA, 253 nt
Filed under: uncultured bacterium
Lineage: Bacteria
Description: partial 16S ribosomal RNA
Rfam family: Bacterial small subunit ribosomal RNA
Source: RNAcentral
CACGAAGGGGGCUAGCGUUGCUCGGAAUCACUGGGCGUAAAGGGUGCGUAGGCGGGUCUUUAAGUCAGGGGUGAAAUCCUGGAGCUCAACUCCAGAACUGCCUUUGAUACUGGCGAUCUUGAGUCCGGGAGAGGUGAGUGGAAUUCCGAGUGUAGAGGUGAAAUUCGUAGAUAUUCGGAAGAACACCAGUGGCGAAGGCGGCUCACUGGCCCGUUACCGACGCUCAGGCGCGACAGCGUGGGGAGCAAACAGG